This 487-nucleotide ribosomal RNA is filed under the name uncultured Arthrobacter sp. RNAcentral's name for it is "bacterial SSU rRNA". It matches the Rfam family "Bacterial small subunit ribosomal RNA", at positions 8 to 507 of the family's 1533-position model. Lineage: Bacteria; Bacillati; Actinomycetota; Actinomycetes; Micrococcales; Micrococcaceae. The record is from RNAcentral.
AGAGUUUGAUCCUGGCGUCAGGAUGAACGCUGGCGGCGUGCUUAACACAUGCAAGUCGAACGAUGAUCCCAGCUUGCUGGGGGAGUUAGUGGCGAACGGGUGAGUAACACGUGAGUAACCUGCCCUUGACUCUGGGAUAAGCCUGGGAAACUGGGUCUAAUACCGGAUAUGACCUUCCAUCGCAUGGUGGUUGGUGGAAAGCUUUUGUGGUUUUGGAUGGACUCGCGGCCUAUCAGCUUGUUGGUGAGGUAAUGGGCUUACCAAGGCGACGACGGGUAGCCGGCCUGAGAGGGUGACCGGCCACACUGGGACUGAGACACGGCCCAGACUCCUACGGGAGGCAGCAGUGGGGAAUAUUGCACAAUGGGCGCAAGCCUGAUGCAGCGACGCCGCGUGAGGGAUGACGGCCUUCGGGUUGUAAACCUCUUUCAGUAGGGAAGAAGCGAGAGUGACGGUACCUGCAGAAGAAGCGCCGGCUAACUACGUG